RNAcentral lists this ribosomal RNA (500 nucleotides) under uncultured bacterium. RNAcentral describes it as "partial 16S ribosomal RNA". It matches the Rfam family "Bacterial small subunit ribosomal RNA", at positions 30 to 523 of the family's 1533-position model. The record is from RNAcentral.
AUUGAACGCCGGCGGAAUGCUUUACACAUGCAAGUCGAACGGCAGCACGGACUUCGGUCUGGUGGCGAGUGGCGAACGGGUGAGUAAUGUAUCGGAACGUGCCCAGUCGUGGGGGAUAACGUAGUGAAAAUUACGCUAAUACCGCAUACGAUCUAUGGAUGAAAGCGGGGGAUCGCAAGACCUCGCGCGAUUGGAGCGGCCGAUAACAGAUUAGGUAGUUGGUGGGGUAAAGGCCCACCAAGCCAACGAUCUGUAGCUGGUCUGAGAGGACGACAAGCCACACUGGAACUGAGACACGGUCCAGACUCCUACGGGAGGCAGCAGUGGGGAAUUUUGGACAAUGGGCGCAAGUCUGAUCCAGCCAUUCCGCGUGCAGGAUGAAGGCCCUCGGGUUGUAAACUGCUUUUGUACAGAACGAAAAGGCUCUGGUUAAUACCUAGGGCUCAUGACGGUACUGUAAGAAUAAGCACCGGCUAACUACGUGCCAGCAGCCGCCGUAA